This 446-nucleotide ribosomal RNA is filed under the name uncultured bacterium. Its description in RNAcentral is "bacterial SSU rRNA". It matches the Rfam family "Bacterial small subunit ribosomal RNA", at positions 329 to 792 of the family's 1533-position model. The record is from RNAcentral.
UGCCAGACUCCUACGGGAGGCAGCAGUGGGGGAUAUUGCACAAUGGGGGGAACCCUGAUGCAGCGACGCCGCGUGGGUGAAGAAGCGCCUCGGCGCGUAAAGCCCUGUCAGCAGGGAAGAAAAUGACGGUACCUGAAGAAGAAGCCCCGGCUAACUACGUGCCAGCAGCCGCGGUAAUACGUAGGGGGCAAGCGUUAUCCGGAUUUACUGGGUGUAAAGGGGGCGCAGACGGCGAUGCAAGCCAGGAGUGAAGGCCCGGGGCCCAACCCCGGGACUGCUCUUGGAACUGCGUGGCUGGAGUGCAGGAGGGGCAGGCGGAAUUCCUGGUGUAGCGGUGAAAUGCGUAGAUAUCAGGAGGAACACCGGUGGCGAAGGCGGCUUACUGGACAGUGACUGACGUUGAGGCUCGAAAGCGUGGGGAGCGAACAGGAUUAGAUACCCCUGUA